Molecule: long non-coding RNA, 841 nt
Organism: Elaeis guineensis (African oil palm)
Lineage: Eukaryota; Viridiplantae; Streptophyta; Magnoliopsida; Arecales; Arecaceae
Source: RefSeq, a predicted model, not a curated record
AGAGAGAGAGAGGAGGCCAAGGGAUCGGUAUUCCUGGCAACUUCAGGGGAGAGCAGGUGCACCUCCCUUGUGCGCUCUUGUUAUGCACCACCGAAGCAUCAGAGCAGCAAGAGCAUUGAGGGAAGAGAGGGCAGCAAGGCUGUGAAUGGGAAGAUAGCUGGUCAUGCCAAUGACACAAGUGCAUCUCAUAAACCAUGCAUACAACCUCAUCCUGUCCCUCUGAAGAGCAGUCUCAAGAAGCCAACACGAGUAGGAGAGCAGCAGCAGGAGGAGGUGGAGGUGAUGGUGAGGGAUGGGAAGAAGAAAGUGAGGUGGCCAGAUCAUGCCCAUGGCAGGGACCUUGCCCACGUCCAGGAGUUCCACUCGAGUGCGCUGGAAGAGGGGGAGUUUAAAGGAAUAGGAGGGUCUUGCAUUUGUGUCAUCCAGUGAAGAAGGUGAUCAGAAAGAGCAUGCAGGUUUAGCCUUUAUCAAGAAGGAGAAGGAAAGGUGUUUUUAUAUCUGAUUCUAAAGCAUGAGUGGGAAUGUUAAUUGGAGCAAUGGGAAUCCAAGGAACAAUAAAUUUUACAGAGAGAUACUAAACUGAUGCAUGGCUCUGGUGACAAACCAUGAAACAGGGUUAGGGCCUAUGAAACCUUGGGGUGAAAGUCCCAUGUGCAUGGAGGGUGACCUAAACCCAAUUUUUGUAUGGAUAUUUGUAUGGUUACCUGUUAGUUUGUUAGUUUAGAAUCACCCAAUUAUAUUGUUCAUGGUUUAGAGUAACAUUUGGAAUAUGAAGGGAAAGAGGAACUGCAGCUUUGAAGAACACACUUGAUUCUGUAAUUUAGUAACCCAUGAUUCUCUC